RNAcentral lists this ribosomal RNA (104 nucleotides) under Ferrimonas marina. The record is from RNAcentral. Lineage: Bacteria; Pseudomonadati; Pseudomonadota; Gammaproteobacteria; Alteromonadales; Ferrimonadaceae.
UAGCGUUGCGGUCCCACCUGAUCCCAUGCCGAACUCAGAAGUGAAACGCAACCGCGCCGAUGGUAGUGUGGGAGUUCCCAUGUGAGAGUAGGUCAUUGCCAGAC